Molecule: long non-coding RNA, 301 nt
Filed under: Ananas comosus (pineapple)
Lineage: Eukaryota; Viridiplantae; Streptophyta; Magnoliopsida; Poales; Bromeliaceae
Description: long non-coding RNA (ACOM_LNC014421)
Source: RNAcentral
AGUAGGUUGGUAUGUAUGUCUAUUCGGGCAUUCAGAUGUACAUGUUUAAAUAUAAAAAUAUUUAAAUAUCGUUCUCUAUCAGUUUAAGCUUUUAGUGAAUAAUGCUUAUUUCAUCGUUAUAUUUUAUUUUUUGAGAGAAAAAUAGAAUACUAUCUGCUCUGUUUAUUUUUUAAAAAAUAAAUUUAACUGAAAAUAUGAAUUAACUAGAAUUCAAACUUGAAAACUCGAAUAUCAAUCACGAAACCCUUUGUCACAUGUGCUAGGGCAGUACAUAUAUUGCUAGUAAUCAAUAAUAGCUACA